CAGUCGCCGCGGGAAUAUGUAGGUGGCAAGCGUUGUCCGGAAUUAUUGGGCGUAAAGGGCUCGCAGGCGGUUUCUUAAGUCUGAUGUGAAAGCCCCCGGCUCAACCGGGGAGGGUCAUUGGAAACUGGGAAACUUGAGUGCAGAAGAGGAGAGUGGGAUUCCACGUGUAGCGGUGAAAUGCGUAGAGAUGUGGAGGAACACCAGUGGCGAAGGCGACUCUCUGGUCUGUAACUGACGCUGAGGAGCGAAAGCGUGGGGAGCGAACAGGAUUAGAGACCCGAGUAGUCCCUGUCUCUUAUAC
Molecule: ribosomal RNA, 301 nt
Filed under: uncultured bacterium
Lineage: Bacteria
Description: partial 16S ribosomal RNA
Rfam family: Bacterial small subunit ribosomal RNA
Source: RNAcentral